Molecule: transfer RNA, 72 nt
Filed under: Schistocephalus solidus
Lineage: Eukaryota; Metazoa; Platyhelminthes; Cestoda; Diphyllobothriidea; Diphyllobothriidae
Rfam family: tRNA
About the family: Transfer RNA (tRNA) molecules are approximately 80 nucleotides in length.
Source: Rfam by way of RNAcentral
GGCCUCUUAGCUCAGUUGGCUAGAGCGUUAGCCUUCCCCUUGCUGGCGUGUAUUCGAAUCCCACUGAGGCCG